Molecule: transfer RNA, 76 nt
Filed under: Cordylochernes scorpioides
Lineage: Eukaryota; Metazoa; Arthropoda; Arachnida; Pseudoscorpiones; Chernetidae
Description: tRNA-Thr
Source: RNAcentral
UGUCCAGGGAUGGGAAUCGAACCCACAGUGUUCCGCUUACCGGGCAGAUGCCAUGUCCACUAGGCUACCCCUAGGC